UUAAAUACCGACCUGCAUGAAUGGCGUAACGAGAUGGGAGCUGUCUCAAAGAGGGAUCCAGUGAAAUUGUAGUGGAGGUGAAAAUUCCUCCUACCCGCGGCAAGACGGAAAGACCCCGUGGACCUUUACUACAGCUUGACACUGCUAUUUGGAUAAGAAUGUGCAGGAUAGGUGGGAGGCUUUGAGUAUAUGACGCCAGUUGUAUAUGAGCCAUUGUUGAGAUACCACUCUUUCUUAUUUGGGUAGCUAACCAGCUUGAGUUAUCCUCAAGUGGGACAAUGUCUGGUGGGUAGUUUGACUGGGGCGGUCGCCUCCCAAAUAAUAACGGAGGCUUACAAAGGUUGGCUCAGAACGGUUGGAAAUCGUUCGUAGAGUAUAAAGGUAUAAGCCAGCUUAACUGCAAGACAUACAAGUCAAGCAGAGACGAAAGUCGGUCUUAGUGAUCCGGUGGUUCUGUGUGGAAGGGCCAUCGCUCAAAGGAUAAAAGGUACCCCGGGGAUAACAGGCUGAUCUCCCCCAAGAGCUCACAUCGACGGGGAGGUUUGGCACCUCGAUGUCGGCUCAUCGCAUCCUGGGGCUGGAGCAGGUCCCAAGGGUAUGGCUGUUCGCCAUU
Molecule: ribosomal RNA, 613 nt
Filed under: Campylobacter coli
Lineage: Bacteria; Pseudomonadati; Campylobacterota; Epsilonproteobacteria; Campylobacterales; Campylobacteraceae
Description: bacterial LSU rRNA
Rfam family: Bacterial large subunit ribosomal RNA
Source: RNAcentral